This 497-nucleotide ribosomal RNA is filed under the name uncultured bacterium. RNAcentral's name for it is "partial 16S ribosomal RNA". It matches the Rfam family "Bacterial small subunit ribosomal RNA", at positions 28 to 507 of the family's 1533-position model. The record is from RNAcentral.
GAUGAACGCUGGCGGCGUGCCUAAUACAUGCAAGUCGAACGAACAGAUGAGGAGCUUGCUCCUCUGACGUUAGCGGCGGACGGGUGAGUAACACGUGGAUAACCUACCUCUAAGACUGGGAUAACUUCGGGAAACCGGAGCUAAUACCGGAUAAUAUAUUGAACCGCAUGGUUCAAUAGUGAAAGACGGUUUUGCUGUCACUUAUAGAUGGAUCCGCGCCGCAUUAGCUAGUUGGUAAGGUAACGGCUUACCAAGGCGACGAUGCGUAGCCGACCUGAGAGGGUGAUCGGCCACACGGGAACUGAGAAACGGCCCAGACUCCUACGGGAGGCAGCAGUAGGGAAUCUUACGCAAGGGGCGAAAGCCUGACGUAGCAACGCCGCGUGAGGGAUGAAGGUCUUCGGAUCGGAAAGCGCUGUUAUUAGGGAAGAACAAAUGUGUAAGUAACUAUGCACGUCUUGACGGUACCUAAUCAGAAAGCCACGGCUAACUACGUG